Molecule: transfer RNA, 71 nt
Filed under: Pseudomonas veronii 1YdBTEX2
Lineage: Bacteria; Pseudomonadati; Pseudomonadota; Gammaproteobacteria; Pseudomonadales; Pseudomonadaceae
Description: tRNA-Asn
Source: RNAcentral
UUCCGUGGCACCGUUGCGAUCAAAUGACUGUUAAUCAUUGGGUCCCUGGUUCGAGUCCAGGUCGUAAGCCA